This 429-nucleotide ribosomal RNA is filed under the name Chloroflexota bacterium. Its description in RNAcentral is "Chloroflexi bacterium partial 16S ribosomal RNA". It matches the Rfam family "Bacterial small subunit ribosomal RNA", at positions 355 to 776 of the family's 1533-position model. Lineage: Bacteria; Bacillati; Chloroflexota. The record is from RNAcentral.
UGGGGAAUAUUGCACAAUGGGCGCAAGCCUGAUGCAGCCAUGCCGCGUGUAUGAAGAAGGCCUUCGGGUUGUAAAGUACUUUCAGCGGGGAGGAAGGGAGUAAAGUUAAUACCUUUGCUCAUUGACGUUACCCGCAGAAGAAGCACCGGCUAACGCCGUGCCAGCAGCCGCGGUAAUACGGAGGGUGCAAGCGUUAAUCGGAAUUACUGGGCGUAAAGCGCACGCAGGCGGUUUGUUAAGUCAGAUGUGAAAUCCCCGGGCUCAACCUGGGAACUGCAUCUGAUAAUGGCAAGCUUGAGUCUCGUAGAGGGGGGUAGAAUUCCAGGUGUAGCGGUGAAAUGCGUAGAGAUCUGGAGGAAUACCGGUGGCGAAGGCGGCCCCCUGGACGAAGACUGACGCUCAGGUGCGAAAGCGUGGGGAGCAAACAGG